UCACCGUCCUGUUCAGCUGCUGUUUCGAAUUAUCUAUAAAUAGCUGCAUUAUCGUGAAACUGCACACUGCAUUAUAACACACAUUGGCAUAUUGAUCUGCAGCAGUGAACCAAUACACAACAUUCCUUUCAUGUGACGACUUUGCUUUCCUUUCCCAUCACUCCUUGUAAGCCUUUUAACUCUCACUUCUAUUUACCAUGGGUAACUCCACUUCCAUGCCCUUUGAGGGAUCCCUGAGGCUGCACCUACCCUUUGUGGCACAUGGUUCCCAAUUUGCUGGUGGUAUUACUGACAUAGCAGUUCUUUGAGCGGGAGAAGCCCAUGAAUGUCAGGGACGAAGUAGGCAGCAGAUCCUGAACCCCAUGCCUCUAGACCAUGUUGAUGGCCUUCUGAUCGGCACUAUUUCCCAUAUCUCUAAAUCUCUUGGAUGACCUGUAAUAUUUAGAAAUGUUGAUAUUUAUUCAGGUAGUUAAAUAUUUUAAGUAAUAUAAAGAUUAUUUUAGAAUUGCAAAGUGUAUCCAAAAACACUUUACUUAUGUAAAUUCAUUAAAGGCGUUAAAUACCCAGCCUCGCUUACAUUUUUAAUGAAUGGCAUUGCAUUGGGUACCUCCGCCAUGGAUGGUGUAAAGCUGAUUUGAGGUGUACCCGGACCCUCAGCUCUGUAUGAUGAGGAUAUGGUGCUGGACCAGAUGCUGACUCCAGCGACAGAACACGAGGUUAGAUGUGCUGUAUGUUGUAGCAUUCGGAUGUGGAAGUCCAGACGCAUUCACUGCGGCUGACUGGUUGUUCUCUGUGGAACCUCAGACUGCACAUUAGCAUGAUCCAGCCUAAUGUCUAAGUAUACUUCAGUUCUUUGUUGGUAUUUUAUUUGCUGGUGAUUUGCUUAUUGGUUCAGUUGGAACAUCUUUCUGCUUUAUAAUCUUUCCAUUGGAACUUCUUAUUCUCAUGUAGCCUACUUACUUGUUAGUGCACCCUAACUAUAUCUACAUCUCUUGUUUCGGUCUGUAAUACAACUAUUCUGUAGCAUAAUAAUUCCAUGUAUUUUCCAGCAAUUACUUGCAGCAUUAAAGAUGGUUUAAUCACAAAAGAAAGCCGAACAGAGAAUUAUUCAGUCUUUUUAAACCUGCCAGCUGAGGUUAAUCUGAGAAAUACAAGUUAACUAUAGAGGACAAGUUAUGCAUGUACACAGUGUGGAAAUUUCAGUGUUGCAGUGCCAUUACUGAACCUUUGCUAAAAUUGUGCAUUUAACUUGAUCUACGGUGUGCUUCCGUUUUUACCAAAGAUCCUAUAGGAAGCAAGAUAGUGCACUCCUGCUAAAACCAAUGGGCUGACGUGGAGUAUGCUACGGAGCGGAACAUCAGCCUUUUCGUCGGCCAUUUCAGUAAACCCGACCUGACUUUGUAUAUCCCUCUCGCAGUGUAAUCAGCGUUGCGGGGGGAACAGUUUGUGUGUGUGAUAUAGUG
Long non-coding RNA from Amblyraja radiata (thorny skate), 1463 nucleotides. RefSeq lists it as uncharacterized. The record is from RefSeq and is a predicted model, not a curated record. The transcript is spliced from 3 exons. Lineage: Eukaryota; Metazoa; Chordata; Chondrichthyes; Rajiformes; Rajidae.